This 355-nucleotide ribosomal RNA is filed under the name uncultured bacterium. RNAcentral's name for it is "bacterial SSU rRNA". It matches the Rfam family "Bacterial small subunit ribosomal RNA", at positions 8 to 350 of the family's 1533-position model. The record is from RNAcentral.
AGAGUUUGAUCAUGGCUCAGGAUGAACGCUAGCUACAGGCUUAACACAUGCAAGUCGAGGGGAAACGACAUCGAAAGCUUGCUUUUGAUGGGCGUCGACCGGCGCACGGGUGAGUAACGCGUAUCCAACCUGCCCACCACUUGGGGAUAACCUUGCGAAAGUAAGACUAAUACCCAAUGACGUCUCUAGAAGACAUCUGAAGGAGAUUAAAGAUUUAUCGGUGAUGGAUGGGGAUGCGUCUGGAUUAGCUUGGUUGGCGGGGUAACGGCCCACCAAGGCGACGAUCAGUAGGGGUUCUGAGAGGAAGGUCCCCCANAUUGGAACUGAGACACGGUCCAAACUCCGUACGGAGGCA